AGCUCAGAGGUUAGAGCGUCUGCCUGCAAUGCGGGAGACCUGGGUUCGAUACCUGG
RNAcentral lists this transfer RNA (56 nucleotides) under Bos taurus (domestic cattle). It matches the Rfam family "tRNA", at positions 9 to 63 of the family's 71-position model. From Rfam's summary of the family: Transfer RNA (tRNA) molecules are approximately 80 nucleotides in length. Their secondary structure includes four short double-helical elements and three loops (D, anti-codon, and T loops). Further hydrogen bonds mediate the characteristic L-shaped molecular structure. tRNAs have two regions of fundamental functional importance: the anti-codon, which is responsible for specific mRNA codon recognition, and the 3' end, to which the tRNAs corresponding amino acid is attached (by aminoacyl-tRNA synthetases). tRNAs cope with the degeneracy of the genetic code in two manners: having more than one tRNA (with a specific anti-codon) for a particular amino acid; and 'wobble' base-pairing, i.e. permitting non-standard base-pairing at the 3rd anti-codon position. RNAcentral also lists the same sequence under 5 other names. The record is from Rfam by way of RNAcentral. Lineage: Eukaryota; Metazoa; Chordata; Mammalia; Artiodactyla; Bovidae.